UACUGACAGUCCAGGAAGGGUUUGUAUGGAAAUAGGCACAGUGAUCAUCACUUCUGUCCCUGGAUAGAAGGCAACUGUUGUUCCUCUCUGGACAUUAGCCCCACGUGGCUUUCACUGGGUCUCUAUCACUUAAGCACUUGCCUCCUGCUUCCCUUCUUAGGCACCGUGAUUAGUGGGGUUAAUCCUAGACCAACGUUAGGUUAGGACACACUCGCUUGCUUACACGUUCGUCUGCUUUGGGAGCCAAGGUCUUAAAGAUUCAUUUUGUCCAUUGUAUCCCCAGCACACGGUGGCGAACUCAGAUGUCAGCGAAGAUUUUAAAACCCACUGUUAAGGGAGUAAGAGGGUUUUAAAGAAAUGUGAAGCCCCUCUUCCCUUUUACCUAGAGACAAAGAUCCUUCCUUGGCUUGAGAGCUGGGGGUUUUCUUCCCCAAUCUUGAGUUUUCAAGCACUGGGCACCAGAAAUCAGGUUGCUGCCUAAAAAAAAUCCUCACUGCUAUUGAGGUCACGGUGACCCGGACAGGACUUGGAGUCCCUGCUCACCCAUUCAAUCACUCCUGCAGGGCCUGACACCCAGUAAAUGACCUGUACGUAUUUGAUUUUACAAAAAAGCACCCCCGCCCCCGAAACAAGAGCCAGGAUGUUCCUAGGCCAGGAAAUCCGUUCCUCUGCCUGCGUCCCAUCCUCCUCCAUGCGCCUCCAUUUGCUGAACUCACAGUGGAUUCGGAGGCCAGGAAAGCGACACCUGCCGGCGGAUGGCGGAAGUGCGGCUCACCGGAGCCGGCAUCCUGCAGGCCAGGCAGAAACGGGCCCUGGGCCAGGGCGUCUGCACGUGGUUUGCCUGAGCAAGCCGGUUCUUGAUUCGGUUGCUCUGAGCGCAGCACGGUCUCCUUCUUUGAAAGAUCGUCCAAAACUUCUCCAUCAGGCAUGUGUAGAGGAGCCUACAUGUCUUCAGGUUUUGGCCCUGGGUGACAUCUUCAGUCAGCCUGCUCCCCUCUCCCCUCUGGUGUGCCCAGUCUCUAGAUACCUCCUGCUCGGUGAAUUCCAUUAAUUUUAACUCUGCCAAAUGAAUGGAGUCCCCUUUCCUGGUGCAUUAGAACCCUCCCCGUGCUUCCUGUUCUGACUUCUAGUAGCAGAAGUGGGUGGGAGCAGAAGGGCCAUGAAAUUCAAGGCCAGUCUGGGUUGGUUAUCUUGCCUCAAAAACAAAGAGCGAAACCAAAAAAGAACACACGCUUGUUUUUCCGCCAUCACUGGUAAUUUUUUCAAAGCCAGAUCGUCCUCUGGUAAGCUUUUGUCAGCCCCUUGCUUCCUGCAGGAGCUAGUGUGUGGUAGCCGUGCCAUUCACAGAGGCUACUACAAUUCAGCAAAAACACACCACGUCUAAUUUAUUACUUGUGCGGGCUAUGCGGGUCUAGCCUCAGCUUAUAAUCACCCUCUUUCAUUGUCACCAAGAGCUGGAAGGGAAGCUUUCUGGAGAAAGGCUGGAAGACCCGAGCCGUCUAUCUAGAGCUGCUGGUUUGGGACUUGUCCCUUUAAGGAAGGGAGAGACUUGAGUUCUUGCAAGGCUGUCAAGCUCUUCUAAGGUGUCACCUGCUGUCUAGGUGGACGGGUAGAGAAGCCAGGCUGCUUCUCUGCAGAUCAGAAGGCUACAACUCUGAAAUCUGGCAGCUCUGUGCCAAUGACUGUCUGUGUGGCUGAACUCAGGCCUCACACGAGAGAUGUCUGCUCUCACAUUGUUCAAGGUAAGAUACAGUUCAUGUGCUUCAGACUACUAGACCUUUCCUCUGUGUGGGUCUCUCACCCUUGGACAGGCCUAGGUUCACCGAUAAAACACUUACCUAGAAUGUGUAGAGACUUGAUCUCCACCACUGGGGGAAAUAUAAAAAAAUUUAAAAAUGGCUGAAGUCAGGUGUCCUUUUCCACUUGGCCUUCCUUUGCUUUUCCUGUCUUCGGUCUCUUAUCUUCUGGGGAGAAGCUUGCCCUGAUAGUAUAUACUGAUUGACACACUCCUGCCACGCUCACACAGCAUCCCCACCCCUCCACCCCCACUUCUCACUUCCUCUGCACAGCUGGGAGGCCUCUCACCGCUUUGCUCCCUCACUCCACCUGCGAGUGGGGGGAAUCAAUAUUUUCGAGGGAUGAAUGACUAUGUCUCUUUUUUUUGGCAGAUGAGCCUACUUAAGAAAACAACUCAAGUCAAAAGAAAUCUUGACUUCCGAAGCUUAGCUGGAAACACCUCCAGUCCAUGUGUGAGGCAGCCUUUUCUUGUCUGCUUCAGUCUCAAUACUGACACCCCCGCCCCAAUUCAGUUUGAGGGAGAGAGUACUUAUUUCUUUCUGGGUUCUAAACUAAAUACUUGAAGCACUCAUUGGGAGCUCCAGAGGCAUGUCCGGCCUGGAGCUGUGGUAUCUCCCCACAGCACAUCUCCCACCCUAUGUCAGCACAAGGGCACCCUUGCCAGUCCUGACUGACUCUGAAGGAAUCCAUGUAGAGUGCCGUGACACUGGGUCGUUUGCAGUCAUCUGUCCAGAACCCUAGUACCUUGCAGCCCCUCUCUCCUUAAUGGCUUGGCUCCGCCCAAUCCCCGCCCCGUUUCCUACCACCAAUCAGCUUAAGUCCUUCACCCUUCCGUUGUUACUGUGUAUCUACAAGUCGAACUGACUGCCACUAGCUUAAUUGGUGUCUGUUGUGUACACCACUGGUCCCUUAGAUUCCAAGAGUUUGGGUGAGCAUUAUAGUUACUUUGGAAUAACUUUCAGGGGGAGCCUGUGAAAGGUAAUUAUAGGCAGCCUGGAAAUUCCCAGAAAGCCUUGGCUUUGAAAUAGUCGGGAUUUGCUUCUUUUUUUUUCGGAGCUGGGGACCGAACCCAGGGCCUUGCGGUUGCUAGGCAAGCACUCUACCACUGAGCCAAAUCCCCCGGGAUUUGCUUCUUAUCUACGUACAUGCCGUGCACUUUACGUUAGAAGCUCUCGGUUUGGGGAUGUGGACCACGGUCAUCGUAAUGAUAACAGAAGCAGCGUGUGAGCCGCUUGUCAUGUGCCAAACACAAGGGUUACAGGGACAUACUUUCAGGACAGUUGUGGUAGGCAGGGGUUGGAUGCAGCUCUGUUUAUGGCUUCCUCAUCUGUGAGCUCAGCCGAGAUCUGACCUGGUGUCCUGGUUUGCUUUCCGUGACUCUGAUAAACACCAGUGGGGGAGGCAACCUGGGAAGGAGAGGGCUGGUUUUGACUUAGAGCAACAGUUCUCCGUCUGUAUGUCACAACCCCUUUGGGGUUGAAAGGACCCUUUCACGGGGGUGGGGGGGGUGGUCAUGUAAGACAAUGGGAAAACGCACACACUGACGUUACAAUUCAUAGCAGCAGCAAAAUUACGGUUAUCGCAAAGCAAUAAAAUAAUUUUCUGGUUGGGAGGGGGGUGUCACCACAACACGAGCAACUGCAUUAAAGCAUCAUGCAGCAUUAGGAAGAUUAAGAACCACUGGCUUAGAGGUUAUUUAUAGUCCAUUACGUCAGGAAUCUGGAGGCAGGUCCAGACGCAGGGACCAUGGAUGAAUGCUGCUUCUGGCUCACUCAGCUUUGAGAACCAGGUCCACCCGCCUAACACUAGGCUGGACCCUCCUACAUUCAACAGGAAAAAAAAAAAUCCCACAGGGCAAUCCGACUGAGGUAAUUCCUCAGUUGAGGUUCCCUCAAUUAGUUGUGUCAAUAUGUGUGUCAAAUUGAUACCCCAGGAAGGUAGAAGCUGGAGAUGGAUCGGGCUGUGCUGGACAGGAGCAAUAGACAUCUCCUGUAUCUGACCGCUUCUUAGUUUACGAAGGAAUCCUGGAGACUGAUCACUGAUAGGAACAGUGCUCCAAGGCCAAACUUAUCCCUAUCACCCACCAAUCCAUUGUCCAGGGAAGCCUGUGGAAUGCUUGUGGCUUCCUGCCUACCCUUUCUCCUUAUGCCUCCUCAAAUCUUCCUCCCUCACAUUCCCGGCCCAGCUCUCAUGAUUACUCUUCUUCCGGAUUUUUCAGAACAUUCUAGAAAAUCUAUGAAGAGACGAGAAAAACAUGACCCCCCAGCAGAACAUGACCGGUUCUUCUCAAACGGAUGACCCCUCACCCAUGGCAGCAGCAGGUACAGGCCAUAGCUGCGGCUGACCUUGUACCUCCCCUCUUACACACUCCCAGUGUUUCUUGUCAGCAAAUCUGUCCAAUCGCCAAAAGGCCGAGGAGGGUGGGGGAUGGGCCCACGAAAGCUGUGGGUACCACAAAACCAAGGCUAAAGGACAAGAAGAUGGCAUCGUGGGUUUUUCAUCUCCAAGGACAUCUCAGGGGUCCUCUUCAAAGAACUCGCCAUUCCCAAACAGGCCAAAGGCUGUUUGAGAUGACCAGAGGUUAGCAAUAUUAUGCGGUAGAAUAUUAAUGAUAUGCCCCUUAGUGUGCUGAUGUAUUAUGCGGACAGUUGAGUGGCAUCGAGAACGUCCACACUGCUUGCUGACCACCUGGUCUCCAGAGCCUUCUCGUCUCUCCAGUGAAGCUUCUUACCCACCAAACACUGGCUUCUCUCCUUGCUUCCCCUCCCUAAGCCUCCAGUAACCGUGUUCUCCUCUAGGCCCCUCAUAUAGGGAGAUCUGAAGAGCAACCACAGGUAGUGAUAGCAUCCAGUUACUUAGCGCGGUGUCUAGACUUUCCCAUGCUGUGCCGGAAUCUUCUUCCUCGUCGACUUUGUGUUAGUUUUCUUUCUGUUGUUGUGCUAAAACAAACAAACAAAAAACCCAACCAACCAACCAAAUAAACAAACCCACAAACAAAAGCAACUUAUGGAAGAAAGAGGUUUUGGUUGUUGUUUGAGGUUUUUUUUUUUUGUUUGUUUGUUUAUUUUGUUUGCUGUUGGUUUUUGUUUGUUUUGCUUUGUUCUCGGUUUCUUGCUUCUGGCUUCUGGUCCCAGAGGGACAAGAGCCCAUCACGGUUAGGAGGCAUGGCUGCAAGUGUCAUCAAGGGUGGCAGGAGCAGGAGGCUAAGAGAUCUUGGACCACAAGCAGAGAGCGGGAGGUAGAAGGAGGGUGAGCCUAUACAUUUUGAAACCCCGCCCUCAGUGAUAUGCCUUCUCCAGCAAGGCUGCAUGCUUUCCCAGACAGCACCAUAGCCGAGGACCCGGUAUUACAACGGCCGAGCCUAGUCUCACUCAAACAAGGCGGGACAUUUAGCUUGUUGUAUUUCCAAAGCACACCUUGUUUCCUCAUCCAUCCGUGGAUGGGCCCUCGGGAUAACGUAAUCAGUGCUGCAAAGGUUAUGAGCAUACACACCUCGGGUCAAGACCCUUUAUGUCUUUUGAGGCUUGGCCCUGCUGUAGUUUGAAUAUGAGAUGUGCCUCGCUUCCCAAAGGUCCACGUUCAGCCCAGUCAAAGCAAGGAAGUCUCUCUCCACACCUUUCAGCAGUAAAUCCGAGUGAGGUUGGUGUAUGUCAACCACACCCUAUCCCCAGGCACCUCGGUGCUGUGCAGGUUGGCUCUGGAGGGGCAGAGUUGAGGGCGGAUGUUCCCUUGAACUCUCAAGUUUGUGGCUCGGUUCACACUAGAGCAGCUCUGUAAUUCUUCCAGUCCGGCUGCCAAUAGCAAUCAGACCCUUCUCAAUGAAGGUGCAUCAGAGCCUCUUGAGGCUGCCUUGAAGGGUCCCUAAGAAACAAGGUCACACCCGUGCCUUCCAGCAACGGUUGAAUUCUUGUUCUCUGUGUGUUGUAGUUAUUUUUCUUUUCUUUUUCUUUCUUUUUUUUUUUUAAGAUUUAUUUAUUGUAUAUGAGUACACUGUAGCUGUCUUCAGACACACCAGAAGAGGGUAUGGAAUCUCAUUACAGAUGGUUGUGAGCCACCAUGUGGUUGUUGGGAAUUGAACUCAGGACCUCAGGAAGAGCAGUCGGUGCUCUUAACCACUGAGCCAUCUCUCCAGCCCCUGUAGUUAUUUUUCUGUUGCUAUGGUAAAAAUACCAUAAGCAAGGUGCCUUAUAGAAGAAAAAAAUGUUUGGGCUUAAGAUUCAAGAUGGGUAAGAGUUCAGUAGAAGGGGGCAGAGCCCCAGUGGCAGGAGCAGGAAGCUGUGAGCUUCCUUCUCGAAGCACAAGCACAAAGCCGACAUAGUGAACUGGAAACGGCAUGAAGUCUUUAAACUCUCAAAGCCCUUUCAGAGUGACGUACUUACCCGGGCCAGGCUCUACCUCCUAAACCUCCCCAAAGAGCACCAUGACAAAUCCAUGAGCUUGUGGGGGACAUUCUUGUUCAAACCACCACGCCAUGAGUCAGCUGGCACAUUCGUGAGUCUUUCAAGCCAGAAGAGCUGGGCCCUUGGCAGUGCCAGGAAAACAGAAAAGGGCCUCUUAGACUGCACCAGCUACUUCAGUCUAUACAGGCCAGGCUGGGCCCUGGAGAGCUCUGAAGUGAAGCCCUGAGAAGGCAGGCUUGCUUUGUGUGUGUGUGUGUGUGUGUGUGUGUGUGUGUGUGUGUGUCUGUCUGUCUGUCUGUCUGUCUGUCUGUCUGUCUUCCAAUAACAGCUAGUAGACUGUGGAAUGAAAUCACCAUUGAGAACUUCUUGGUCUGGGCUGGAGAAAGGGUCUCUUCAAAGGAAGAGACAGGUAUGGGGACCUCCUGCAGUCCCACCUGGGAAAGGCAUCUGUCUCAGUCACGUGGUUUUUCCUCUCUGCCUGUCUCUUGUGAUUGUCGCCACAGCCCAGCAGGAGAAAGCUAAACAUGGCAGGGCUCCAUUUGCAGGGGAGUUGGACAGUUCUAAGUAGCACUGGUACCUAGGUGGGGGGGAGAGGUCCUCUAGAGGCUAAUCUGCAUAUAUUUUCAUUCAUUUGCAUGCACGUAGUGUUGCCUAUGAAGCUUCUUCCAGAUGCUGAAAAUAAAUUCAACUAUUAAUAUUUUACAAAUUAAAGGAGGGAGGAACCACAAAAAGACCCUUUCAUUUGCAGUUUAAAUUUAAAACUAAUCAUAGAGGGGUUGGGGAUUUAUCUCAGUGGUAGAGCGCUUGCCCUUGGUUUGGUCCCCAGCUCCGGAAAAAAAAAAAACAACAAAAAAAAAAAAACAAACUAAUCAUAGAGCCCUUUUCCUUUUCCUCUGUCUAUCCUUCCCUCCCUCUCUCCGGGUUUGACCCCAAGAUUUUUAAUACACAGGAGACAAACACCUUAAUACAGGUUGGGGUUGGGGGAUGAAUUGCUGGCUGAUGUUGGGGACGGGGAGCGCGACAGUUCUCACAGUGUAGCCCAGGCUGGCCAGGAACUUGCUAUGUAGACUAGGUUGGCCUCGAGUUCACCAAGUUCUACCUCCUGUUUCCAGGAGUGCUGGGAUUGAAAAUAUAUGCUGCCAAGUUCUAUUAGUGUACACGUUCUAUAAACGUAAAAAGAACCUAUUUUGAGACCUUUUCAGGGAGAGACAAGAGAAAAGCGUGGUAAAAUCUCCUGUUGCACGGUAGUCUGUCUUUUUGCCCCCAAAGAACUAACUAGUACAGUUUGGCAAGGUUGGGCUUUGCCUUCUGAUGCUUUUUCUAAAGGGAAAACGGACUCUCACCCUGGAAAACACCAGUCUUGUUUGUUUUCUGUUCCUUUAGAAGUCAGCCCUGGAGCGGCUGGCAGCGGUGAGCACAGCUCUCGGGCGUUGUGUAACCGCCAGGCAAUCACGUUGCACCCACCGCUUCCACAGACUGGUAACUGCAAUAAUAAAUCGGAGCUUAUUCAAAUACGAGAAACCAUCCCAGCGGGCUCCAAGUCACGUGUCCAGGUCACAUGGCCUGCCAGACAGAGAAGGCGGCUGGCAAUCAUUAACUAAUGCUUUCUCCCAGGGAGAAAAAUGCUGGCUUUAAGGAGGCCGGGACGUCAGAAUUGCAAUAGAAGUACCGGGAUCACACGUAUGCGCCUCAAUGCUCGCUGGAACGCACUGUGUAGCGCAAGAUGACCUCAGAUGAAUAGAGAUCUGCGGCCUCUGCUCCUGGGCGCUGGGAUUGAAGGUGCGCGCCGCCACAUCUGGCUAAUUUCCUCUGCUGCAAGUCUCCUUCCCGAAGAGCCAUCCUAACCAGAGCUGACAGCCACGGUUCUGAGAGCCGAGACACUAAGAAGACAGAUGUGACUUUGUUGUUACCUCAGAAGCGAGGCCUCCAAGGGAAAGGCAGCUGAGCCCAGUCCUGAGACGCUGAAUGAAGCCUGCCCCAGCCUUCCAUCCCGCCUUUUCUACACCUCAACCCUCACGACCCUCAUCCUUGGUUUGCACCCUUGUAAGCACAUGGAGGCAGGCUGGGCCAUCUGCAGUGUGGUUUCGCCUCUGGUGUCUCACUUAUUAUCCCAACCCCACCUCUUCUCCAAGGCCUUUAGGUACGUGUGAAAAGGUAGCUCAUCCACAAUGUCUUGUGGGCUGUAACCACUGAGGGGAUGGAGUCUAUAAGUCUAUCUCUUGCCUUUGGGCUGAGUUAGACCAAACUUCAACUCCAUAAUUUACUAGCGGGUUAGGUAACCUUGUGAAUAAGGAGUUCUUUGCUCUGAAGGCUGUGACGAACCACUUAACAUUCAGUUUCGAAACAGACUGUGUAGCCCAGGCUGGCCUUAAACUGACAGUAAUCACCCUGCCUCAGCCUCCUGGGCACUAAGGUUACAGAAGUGUGUCUCCAUGACUGGAGUUCUUUCUUUGUAUGCAACCGAGAUGGACUGUAACUUAAUCAGGAAGGAAUUUUCUAGAAAGGGACGGACUGGUUCUUAGAGGCUGAAGAGCCAGACGUAUGAGAUAAUUGUUUGCUCCAAGUCAGGGUAAAGAAUCUCUCCAUUCCAGUGUUUUCUGUUACCCCUUUCCUCCUGAGAAUCCAGGGUGACAAGGACCUAAUGGCCUUAUUGCGUUCUAUGCGGUGCUGUCUUUUGGUUAAUGACUAGUCAGGGGUAGCCAGGAAUCAAUGGGACAAAGGCUUAUUCUCCGAGAAUAUCCCCAGGAAGGAAAAUUACGUUGUCAUCCCAAGGUAAGGAAUUCCUAGCAGGGGGCUGGUUCAUCCUUCCUUUCCCAGGGUGCAGCUCGGGUCAGGGGAUGUUCACUGCUUGAGGAGAAACGUUUCCAGGACAGGAGCGAAUGCAGUUCCCCUUUAAGAAGUGGAUGAAAGAACUAAGAUUAGAACCAAAGAAGAGAGGACUGGGUUAGUUUGGCAUGGCUGUCUUAGAUACUGUGAAGCCUGGCCCCCAGAAGCAAGAACAAUUUGUAUUCCUUAUAUCCAAAAGGAAAAACUAAAGCCAAGAAAUGGACUAUCAAGUGAAACAGGCUGAGGUGGUACACAACAGUAAGAUAGGCUACAGACGAGGAGGCAGGAGGGUCAUGAGUUCAAGGCUAGCCCGAACUUACGGGGCUCCGUGGUUGAGAACACUUGCCGAGGGCCCAGGUUUAGUUUCUAGCACCCAGUGCACCUGUAAUUCCAGUUCUAGGGGAUUGGACACCUACUGCUGGCCUCUGCAGACACCAAGCGUACACACUGUGUACGUACACACACGCAGGCACAUACUCACACCCAAAGUAAAUAUGAAUAAAUUGGAAGUGAAACGGUUUUCCUUCCACUAUAUCUAAAGCUACAGUCUUCCAAGAAGCAAGGUAAGCCGACUUGUGAGAGAGACAACUUUGUGUCUCUGGGAGGAUUCGUGUUCAGUUGCCCGUGGUAGCGAGGACCACAGUGGACCACAGUAGACAGGAUGCUACAGCUGAUGUCCUCAUGGUUUCAGUGGUGACAUGCGUCAGUGCCUGGGUGGCCACAGCUGCCCAACGGCACUUUUCCAGAUGUGGAGUUCCAGAUGUGUAUGGCGUGAGUGACAGAGGACGUGAGGAGCUCCCACAUACCCUUCCUGACCACCUCCUUAGGUCUGUGAUGGUCCGGACAUACUGUGGGAGAGCCCUUUAUUUUGGAGUGACGCCCCGCUCAGAGGUCACUGCUGGGAUGUGUUCCAUCAGCCAGCGUCUUUCAUGCUUCCUCCAGUGUAAACCACACCAACAUCUUGUUUAUCACUGAAGAACAAAUAUAUUUUGAGUCCCUAGGGCUAUAUCUGUUAUGAGAAAUCGAAAAUACCCAUAUUUAUAAACAUCGUGUUGUAUAUCAGAAAUACAUGAGAUUUUUAAAAAGA
This is a non-coding RNA of Rattus norvegicus (Norway rat), 10110 nucleotides long. The record is from RefSeq and is a predicted model, not a curated record. NCBI's taxonomy places the organism in Eukaryota, Metazoa, Chordata, Mammalia, Rodentia, Muridae.